CCUACGGGAGGCAGCAGUGAGGAAUAUUGGUCAAUGGACGAGAGUCUGAACCAGCCAAGUAGCGUGAAGGAUGACUGCCCUAUGGGUUGUAAACUUCUUUUAUAUGGGAAUAAAACGUUCCACGUGUGGGAUUUUGUAUGUACCAUAUGAAUAAGGAUCGGCUAACUCCGUGCCAGCAGCCGCGGUAAUACGGAGGAUCCGAGCGUUAUCCGGAUGUAUUGGGUUUAAAGGGAGCGUAGGUGGAUUGUUAAGUCAGUUGUGAAAGUUUGCGGCUCAACCGUAAAAUUGCAGUUGAAACUGGCAGUCUUGAGUACAGUAGAGGUGGGCGGAAUUCGUGGUGUAGCGGUGAAAUGCUUAGAUAUCACGAAGAACUCCGAUUGCGAAGGCAGCUCACUGGACUGCAACUGACACUGAGGCUCGAAAGUGUGGGUAUCAAACAGGAUUAGAUACCCGAGUAGUC
RNAcentral lists this ribosomal RNA (460 nucleotides) under uncultured bacterium. RNAcentral's name for it is "partial 16S ribosomal RNA". It matches the Rfam family "Bacterial small subunit ribosomal RNA", at positions 338 to 795 of the family's 1533-position model. The record is from RNAcentral.